This is a long non-coding RNA of Temnothorax curvispinosus, 858 nucleotides long. RefSeq lists it as uncharacterized. NCBI's taxonomy places the organism in Eukaryota, Metazoa, Arthropoda, Insecta, Hymenoptera, Formicidae. The record is from RefSeq and is a predicted model, not a curated record. The transcript is spliced from 3 exons.
CUAGACGUUGCUUGUACCAAUAUGGCUGUCAUUUUGGCGUUCACGUGCCCGCGUGUCAUCGCGAUCCGUGCCUGACCGUGCCCGAAACCCGUCAUUCUCCGCGAUGCCUUGUGCUUGAGACGUCCCGUGGUCGGGAUGCUGUGCGCGAGAAGCGGAACAGUUGCCCGUCACCAGCCAUGUUCAUGAAGUGUCUUUUUGUUGUGACAAUCCUGUGAUAUAACACUCUCAUGCAACGUGCUGUCUCGCUGAAGCGAUCUCGCGCGCGCAUCGAUAUAUCUUGGUUUUUUCAUAUGAUUUUUUCAUCUUCUUGCCUCGUUUUCUCGUCGCGUCUUAUUUCGCCUCGUCUCGUUUCGUUUCGUUUCGUUUCGUUUCGUUUCGUUUCGUUUCGUUUCGUUUCGUUUCGUUUCGUCCUGUUCUGUUCCGUUCCGUUCUGUUCCGUUUUGUUCCGUCCCGACCGUCUCAUCUCAUUUCGUUCCAUCUCGUUUCGCCCCGCCUCAUAUCGUCUCAUUUCGUCUCUCGUCCCGUCCUGUCCCAUCCCGUCCCGCGUCUCGUAAGAAAUCACUUGCCUGUGUUUGCUGCUAUCAAGUAAAGAUUAAAUGAAAGGUCGGUAGCAACAGAGGUGAGGCAGGGUGGCGCUCAAAGGAGGGAUGAAUGGAACGGCAGCGCUACGACACAGCGUCGGGGCUGGUGCAGGCACCAUCAGUGGUGGAGCCAUCGACCCAGCGCCCAUCGCCACUUUGGUCGUAUACAAGGAUGAUGCUGGGUUUGGAAUGAAAGUUUCUGGUGACAAUCCAGUCUACGUUCAGUCCGUAAAAGAAGGUCUGCUUGAAAGUUCCAUGUUUGGAUUAAUAUUUGCAU